This 515-nucleotide ribosomal RNA is filed under the name uncultured bacterium. RNAcentral describes it as "bacterial SSU rRNA". It matches the Rfam family "Bacterial small subunit ribosomal RNA", at positions 376 to 882 of the family's 1533-position model. The record is from RNAcentral.
CGAAAGUCUGACGGAGCAACGCCGCGUGAGUGAAGAAGGUUUUCGGAUCGUAAAGCUCUGUCUUUGAGGACGAAUGUGUCUAAUGUGAAUAAUGUUAGAUAAUGACGGUACUCGAGGAGGAAGCCACGGCUAACUACGUGCCAGCAGCCGCGGUAAUACGUAGGUGGCAAGCGUUGUCCGGAAUUAUUGGGCGUAAAGCGCGCGCAGGCGGGAUAUUAAGUCUGUUUUAAAAGUUCGGGGCUCAACCCCGUGAUGGAAUGGAAACUAAUAUUCUUGAGUGCAGGAGAGGAAAGUGGAAUUCCCAGUGUAGCGGUGAAAUGCGUAGAUAUUGGGAGGAACACCAGUGGCGAAGGCGACUUUCUGGACUGUGUCUGACGCUGAGGCGCGAAAGCCAGGGGAGUGAACGGGAUUAGAUACCCCGGUAAUCCUGGCCGUAAACGAUGGGUACUAGGUGUAGGAGGUAUCGACCCCUUCUGUGCCGGAGUUAACGCAAUAAGUACCCCGCCUGGGGAGUA